UACGGAGGGUGCGAGCGUUAAUCGGAAUCACUGGGCGUAAAGCGCACGUAGGCUGUUUUGUAAGUCGCAUGUGAAAGCCCUCGGCUCAACCGGGGAACUGCGUGCGAUACUGCAUAACUCGAGUCCUGGAGAGGGUGGCGGAAUUCCCGGUGUAGGAGUGAAAUCCGUAGAUAUCGGGAGGAACACCAGUGGCGAAGGCGGCCACCUGGACAGGUACUGACGCUGAGGUGCGAAAGUGUGGGGAGCAAACAGG
RNAcentral lists this ribosomal RNA (253 nucleotides) under uncultured bacterium. RNAcentral's name for it is "partial 16S ribosomal RNA". It matches the Rfam family "Bacterial small subunit ribosomal RNA", at positions 524 to 776 of the family's 1533-position model. The record is from RNAcentral.